UGCUGAUUGAUGUUAUUGCCCCCUCGACGAACGGCAAAUCGGGUCGAGUGUGUCGAAUUGCUCAGAUGAUUAUUACAAAUACCGGCCCGCGGAGACGCUCGAAAUUCGGCCAGCUGAAUUGAGCCUGUUUACGUAAUGACAUUUAGACAAAAUUUGUAGAAAGAAAAAAACGGGACAGAUGCGACGGCGUCAGCGGCAGGUGUUACUUUCGGAAAACAUAAAAACAAAAAGUAUACAAGUCUAGUCUGACAUAUAAACUGGACGCUCUUCUCCGGAGAGCAGAUGUGUGUGCGUGUGCGUGAUCGCAACCCAAAUGUAAUAUAUCCUUCCGCUAGAUGCCUCUUAACUCUGCUUCACGGAAUGGAAAAUAAGAUUCGGCACAGACAAACCGGACAAACCCAGGUGGUUCGUUUAUUUUUGCUCUCGCAGGUUGCGGACGUAUACUUUUUGUUUCAUCGGUUGUCACGGUGUCGCUUUCCUUCUUAUAGCUGCACUGUUUUGUUUUUCGGACGGCGUAAGGAAUUGGGUGUGUUCUCGAUGGGAAACGAUUGAGGUCGCGGGAAUAGGCCGCGCUGCUGGUCAUUCCGGUGUCGCCUGGCCCCCAUGAUGUUCUCCUGAAUGGACUGCGCUCAAUUCGACCAGCUGUCGCAUAAAGCGUCGCAAUUUAUGGGGCAAAGAGGAUCGCUUGAAUUCUCUUACGAAUUCUUUUUUCUUUAUUCAUAAAGUAAAGAGAGAACGGAGAGGAAAUUCUCUAUUUCUUCUUCUUUUUUCUUUUUCUAUAAGACGCGACUGCAGCAGCAGCGGUGAACAAGGAAACUCCAGGGACAUAAGGCACAGGAAAUAACAAGUUCGAAAGAUAUACCAGCAGCAUUUCCCUAGCUACCGCCGCUACCUCCUACCAACCGUGGCUCCAACAGACCCACAAACAAAUCCUUUUGGCCCCGAUUCUUAUAUGCUGACGCGUUGCUGGUACUACCCAAGUAUUUCUUCUUUUUCCGCGUCUCCCUGGAGUCUCUGUUGACCGCCAGUCCUUUUGAACACAUAACAAGUACUUGAAAAUAUUUUUUUCAACUUGUUUGGUAGAAAUAUAUUUUCCUUUGGUACACACAUCUCUCUCGUCGUUAUCAGCCAGCAUCUCUAUGUUUUUUUUUCCUUUUUCCGUUCCUGUGUCGCUCGCUGAGUAUCUCCACGUAGCGGAUCGUCCUGGCAUAUUCUCUUUCUCUCUACCCUUACAGUCUCAAUUGUAUUUUGUUGAUGGUGACGCCGUCUAUACUGAAACUGCACUCUAGACUAGGCACGCAAGAGUAACCAUCUUGUCAGAUCUUGUAUAACUGUCGACAAAUACACUAGGCGUUGAGUCUA
Daphnia pulex (common water flea) is the source of this 1362-nucleotide long non-coding RNA. RefSeq lists it as uncharacterized. The record is from RefSeq and is a predicted model, not a curated record. The transcript has 2 exons. NCBI's taxonomy places the organism in Eukaryota, Metazoa, Arthropoda, Branchiopoda, Diplostraca, Daphniidae.